RNAcentral lists this ribosomal RNA (387 nucleotides) under uncultured bacterium. RNAcentral's name for it is "bacterial SSU rRNA". It matches the Rfam family "Archaeal small subunit ribosomal RNA", at positions 339 to 726 of the family's 1478-position model. The record is from RNAcentral.
GCGCGAAAACUUUACAAUGCUGGCAACAGCGAUAAGGGAACCUCGAGUGCCAGGUUACAAAUCUGGCUGUCGAGAUGCCUAAAAAGCAUUUCAUAGCAAGGGCCGGGCAAGACCGGUGCCAGCCGCCGCGGUAACACCGGCGGCUCGAGUGGUAACCGUUAUUAUUGGGUCUAAAGGGUCUGUAGCCGGCCGGAUAAGUCUCUUGAGAAAUCUGGCAGCUUAACUGUCAGGCUUUCAGGAGAUACUGUCUGGCUUGAGGCCGGGAGAGGUGAGAGGUACUUCAGGGGUAGGGGUGAAAUCUUGUAAUCCUUGAAGGACCACCAGUGGCGAAGGCGUCUCACCAGAACGGACCUGACGGCAAGGGACGAAAGCCAGGGGCACGAACCG